UACGGGGGGGGCAAGCGUUGUUCGGAAUUACUGGGUGUAAAGGGCUCGUAGGCGGCCAACUAAGUCAUACGUGAAAUCCCUCAGCUUAACUGGGGAACUGCGUGUGAUACUGGAUGGCUUGGAUUUGGGAGAGGGAUGCGGAAUUCCAGGUGUAGCGGUGAAAUGCGUAGAUAUCUGGAGGAACACCGGUGGCGAAGGCGGCAUCCUGGACCAAUAUUGACGCUGAGGAGCGAAAGCCAGGGGAGCAAACGGG
RNAcentral lists this ribosomal RNA (253 nucleotides) under uncultured bacterium. RNAcentral describes it as "partial 16S ribosomal RNA". It matches the Rfam family "Bacterial small subunit ribosomal RNA", at positions 524 to 776 of the family's 1533-position model. The record is from RNAcentral.